UGGUAUCAGAGUAUGCAGUUGUCCAGAUUGUGGCGGUGUUGAUCAAGGUUGAAGAAGAUGGAGAAGAUAGGCUCAAUCAAGAUAGAGAUCAAUAGGUAUGAUGGAAAGAGUAAUUUCUCCAUAUGACAAACAAAGGUGAAGGAUGUGCUCAUCCAAAAAAGAUUGAUUGAUGCUCUCUUGUACGAGAAGAAGCCUACUACCAUGGAGGA
RNAcentral lists this long non-coding RNA (209 nucleotides) under Elaeis guineensis (African oil palm). RNAcentral describes it as "long non-coding RNA (EGUI_LNC015516)". Lineage: Eukaryota; Viridiplantae; Streptophyta; Magnoliopsida; Arecales; Arecaceae. The record is from RNAcentral.